Molecule: ribosomal RNA, 253 nt
Filed under: uncultured bacterium
Lineage: Bacteria
Description: partial 16S ribosomal RNA
Rfam family: Bacterial small subunit ribosomal RNA
Source: RNAcentral
UACGAAGGGGGCUAGCGUUGCUCGGAAUCACUGGGCGUAAAGGGUGCGUAGGCGGGUCUUUAAGUCAGGGGUGAAAUCCUGGAGCUCAACUCCAGAACUGCCUUUGAUACUGAGGAUCUUGAGUCCGGGAGAGGUGAGUGGAACUGCGAGUGUAGAGGUGAAAUUCGUAGAUAUUCGCAAGAACACCAGUGGCGAAGGCGGCUCACUGGCCCGGUACUGACGUUGAGGCACGAAAGCGUGGGGAGCAAACAGG